This 391-nucleotide ribosomal RNA is filed under the name uncultured bacterium. Its description in RNAcentral is "bacterial SSU rRNA". It matches the Rfam family "Bacterial small subunit ribosomal RNA", at positions 30 to 432 of the family's 1533-position model. The record is from RNAcentral.
ACUGAACGCUGGCGGAAUGCCUAACACAUGCAAGUCGAGCGGGGUGUAGCAAUACACCUAGCGGCGGACGGGUGAGGAAUACAUAGGAAUCUACCUUUAAGUGGGGGAUAGCCCGGGGAAACCCGGAUUAAUACCGCAUGAUCUCGCAAGAGCAAAGCGGGGGACCGUAAGGCCUCGCGCUGAAAGAUGAGCCUAUGUCGGAUUAGCUAGUUGGCGGGGUAAAGGCCCACCAAGGCGACGAUCCGUAGCUGGUCUGAGAGGACGAUCAGCCACACCGGAACUGAGACACGGUCCGGACUCCUACGGGAGGCAGCAGUGGGGAAUAUUGGACAAUGGGCGCAAGCCUGAUCCAGCAAUUCCGCGUGUGUGAAGAAGGCCUCGGUUGUAAGUA